CAGCGCCCCAAGUGGCAAUCGCGUUUAUUGGGCCUAAAGCAUCCGUAGCCGGCGCUGUAAGUUUUCGGUUAAAUCUGUACGCUCAACGUACAGGCUGCCGGGAAUACUGCAGCGCUAGGGAGUGGGAGAGGUAGACGGUACUCGGUAGGAAGGGGUAAAAUCCUUUGAUCUAUUGAUGACCACCUGUGGCGAAGGCGGUCUACCAGAACACGUCCGACGGUGAGGGAUGAAAGCUGGGGGAGCAAACCGGAUUAGAGACCCGAGUAGUCC
RNAcentral lists this ribosomal RNA (270 nucleotides) under uncultured archaeon. RNAcentral's name for it is "partial 16S ribosomal RNA". It matches the Rfam family "Archaeal small subunit ribosomal RNA", at positions 477 to 747 of the family's 1478-position model. The record is from RNAcentral.